AUGGCGGUUAUCACUGGUAAGGGGACACCUGGUUCUGGAGGACAACAUGGUGAAAAAGGAGAGAAGGGUGACCAAGGAAGAGUUUCAAUAAAAGGAAUAAAAGGUGAAAGAGGUCCUACUGGGGUUCCAGGAUUUCCAGGCCAAAAAGGUAAUGAUGGCAGAGAUGGGGAUUUAGGAUUGCCUGGGGAAAAAGGAGCUGAGGGUGAAUCUGGAGUACCAAUACCAGGUGAUAAAGGAUUUCCUGGAGUUCCAGGACUACCCGGAGUAAAAGGACCGAUGGGAUUGCCUGGUUUGGGGUUUCCUGGCCCUCCAGGAGUCAGAGGUACCCCUGGAGACUUUGGUGAUGAUGGUAACAUUGGGCUGCCUGGUCCGAAGGGUCAGAAAGGUAAUUUUAAAUAUUUACAUUAAGAACUAAAUAACAAAAUACAUGUUUAGUACCAUCCUUUACAGUUUCAAAUGCAUUAUAUAUAGUGUUAGUCAUUUACAGCUAAAUCAGUUUUGGCAAGCUCAGUGGUCACAUACUGUCAGCACUUAGCAGCAAGUACUGGUGAGAAUAUGAAUCUCAAGGGACUUUGAGCCUGGAGUGUGCUACUUGUGCACUACCAGAGGAAUUAUUUUCUGGAGUGAAGAACAUGCCUAUCUAUAAGGAUUUACAGGGCCAUGCUUUUUGCUAAAGGAAUAGGAAAAGACAACUCAUGCUUAAGACAUACUCUUUCUGUUUGUUUAUUCCCCACCAAAGAAAAAAAAAAAUCUUCACUGAUAUCAAUAUAUA
Molecule: long non-coding RNA, 772 nt
Filed under: Numida meleagris (helmeted guineafowl)
Lineage: Eukaryota; Metazoa; Chordata; Aves; Galliformes; Numididae
Description: lncRNA (ENSNMEG00000005799.1)
Source: RNAcentral